RNAcentral lists this ribosomal RNA (408 nucleotides) under uncultured bacterium. RNAcentral's name for it is "partial 16S ribosomal RNA". It matches the Rfam family "Bacterial small subunit ribosomal RNA", at positions 28 to 526 of the family's 1533-position model. The record is from RNAcentral.
GACGAACGCUGGCGGCGUGCUUAACACAUGCAAGUCGAACGAAGUGGCGAACGGGUGAGUAACGCGUAAUCAACCUGCCCUUCAGAGGGGGACAACAGUUGGAAACGACUGCUAAUACCGAAUACUGAAGGAGGAGAUUGCGUCUGAUUAGCUAGUUGGAGGGGUAAGGGCCCACCAAGGCGAGGAGCAGUAGCCGGUCUGUGAGUAUGAACUGCCACAUUGGGACUGAGACACGGCCCAGACUCCCACGGGAGGCAGCAGUGGGGAAGCUUUCGCAAUGGACGAAAGUCUGACGGAGCAACGCCGCGUGAGUGAUGACGGCCUUCGGGUUUUAAAGCUCUGUUAAUCGGGACGCGGUACCGGAAUAGAAAGCCACGGCUAACUACGUGCCAGCAGCCGCGGUAAUAC